This is a long non-coding RNA of Humulus lupulus (European hop), 799 nucleotides long. RefSeq lists it as uncharacterized. NCBI's taxonomy places the organism in Eukaryota, Viridiplantae, Streptophyta, Magnoliopsida, Rosales, Cannabaceae. The record is from RefSeq and is a predicted model, not a curated record. The transcript is spliced from 2 exons.
AAUUUAAUAAAAUUAAAAAAAAUUAUAAUUUUAAUCUCCAUAGAAAACUUAAUCAAAUAAACUAAUUUUGUUUAAAUAAACUUAAUUUAAGCUAAAACUAAAUAAAAUUAAAAACAAACAAAAACCCUAAAGUUAAACCAUUUCCCCUUCCCAUUUGUCUUCUUCUUCUUCUUUGGAUUUGUUGGCUGGAGCCUCAGCCCCGACUCCUCCAGAUCCUAGCCUGCCAGAUGUCGACUCCUCCAGAUCCUAGCCCGCCAGAUCCUUACCUAACUUUGCUGAUCCCAACCUAGAUUUGGGUCCCAUUUCCUCUGCCAGACCUUGCGUCGUUGCCACAAGCUCAUCCACAAACCCGCCCUUAAAUGUUUGCUUGAGUGUCGAUCGUAACCCAUACCUGGGUCCCGUUUCCCUUGCUAGACCUUGCGUCCCCAUCCCUGCAACACAUAUACAAAGAAGAGAAAGAACGAAGGAGAGAGAGUGAAGCAAAGAUCUGGUUUGCUUUGUGAAUUUUGAGUGAUAAACAAAGAAAGAGAUGAGAGGCUGGGACUAGAGACAGUACAAGCAUGGGUCGAGUUUCUUGUUGGUGUUGGUGGCUCUGAGAAUUUCAGAUUGUUCUUGGAGACUAUAUGCAUUUGAUUUUUCUAUUCUGUAGUUUUGCAUUUGUUUAAUUUGAUUGAGUUUUGUUUUUUUUUUACUUUGUUUAAUUUUUGUUUUAGAUUUUUAGAUAAAAUAGUUUUAGUUUUUUUUAAUUAAUUAAAAAUAUUUACGUUUUUCUAUAUAAUUUGUUUUAUUUUAAAUUAAA